Molecule: long non-coding RNA, 643 nt
Organism: Nematostella vectensis (starlet sea anemone)
Lineage: Eukaryota; Metazoa; Cnidaria; Anthozoa; Actiniaria; Edwardsiidae
Exons: 2
Source: RefSeq, a predicted model, not a curated record
AGGAAGAAAAUACCGCGGUGUUUGCGCUUAUUGUUUGCUUGUUAAAUUGAUUCCUGGUUUACUUUUAACAGUUCCUUUUGUCUCAAGCAAGAAAAUACCGCGGUUUUUGCGCUUAUUGUUUGCUUGUUGAAUUGAUUCCUUGUUCACUGGCUCAGGACCAUUGUUCAAAAUUAGAAUAGAUUUGUUUUGGCGGUCUUUAUAAAUGUCUGGACAUUUUGGUAGCUCACACAAACAAGCUGACUUAAGCAACAACACGAUAUAUUCACCAAGAGAAAAGACCUUUCAAGAAAAAUGAAAUUGCAAUUGAUAAUUACCUAGCUCGUCAUUCUCAACUCCUCCACUGGCCAAAAACUUACCGCGAAGCUGAUUCUACAACAAGAGAGCCUCGAAACAUUAAAGAACAGUAUCCUGUACGCCUCGAACUCCGCCGAAAGAGAAUGCCGACAGCAAUUUAAAGCCAGUAAAUGGAACUGCUCUUCUGUGUGGGCCCGUCCAAUAAAGAUGAGAGACCCUAUGUAUAUGAUCCGACGAUUAGGUAAUUACGACGUUGUAUACAAGACGCAAUGCUGUAACGGUAGAAAAUGCGAGUGCAAGAAAUUGGUUGCUGUUGCGAAAUGUGUGCGCUAAUUGAAUAUAUCUCAGA